GAUGAACGCUGGCGGCGUGCCUAAUACAUGCAAGUCGAGCGAACAGACGAGGAGCUUGCUCCUCUGACGUUAGCGGCGGACGGGUGAGUAACACGUGGAUAACCUACCUCUAAGACUGGGAUAACUUCGGGAAACCGGAGCUAAUACCGGAUAACAUAUUGAACCGCAUGGUUCAAUAGUGAAAGACGGUUUUGCUGUCACUUAUAGAUGGAUCCGCGCCGCAUUAGCUAGUUGGUAAGGUAACGGCUUACCAAGGCAACGAUGCGUAGCCGACCUGAGAGGGUGAUCGGCCACACUGGAACUGAGACACGGUCCAGACUCCUACGGGAGGCAGCAGUAGGGAAUCUUCCGCAAUGGGCGAAAGCCUGACGGAGCAACGCCGCGUGAGUGAUGAAGGUCUUCGGAUCGUAAAACUCUGUUAUUAGGGAAGAACAAAUGUGUAAGUAACUAUGCACGUCUUGACGGUACCUAAUCAGAAAGCCACGGCUAACUACGUG
This 497-nucleotide ribosomal RNA is filed under the name uncultured bacterium. RNAcentral describes it as "partial 16S ribosomal RNA". It matches the Rfam family "Bacterial small subunit ribosomal RNA", at positions 28 to 507 of the family's 1533-position model. The record is from RNAcentral.